Molecule: ribosomal RNA, 440 nt
Filed under: uncultured bacterium
Lineage: Bacteria
Description: partial 16S ribosomal RNA
Rfam family: Bacterial small subunit ribosomal RNA
Source: RNAcentral
CCUACGGGUGGCUGCAGUAGGGAAUAUUGCUCAAUGGGGGAAACCCUGAAGCAGCAACGCCGCGUGAAGGAUGAAGGUUUUAGGAUUGGAAACUCCUUUUGUUAGAGAAGAUAAUGACGGUAUCUAACGAAUAAGCACCGUCUAACUCCGUGCCAGCAGCCGCGGUAAUACGGAGGGUGCAAGCGUUACUCGGAAUCACUGGGCGUAAAGAGCGCGUAGGCGGGAUAGCAAGUCAGAUGUGAAAUCCUAGGGCUUAACCAUAGAACUGCAUUUGAAACUGUUAUUCUAGAGUAUGGGAGAGGUAGGUGGAAUUCGUGGGGUAGGGGUAAAAUCCGUAGAGAUCAAGAGGAAUACUCAUUGCGAAGGCGACCUGCUAGAACAUAACUGACGCUGAUGCGCGAAAGCGUGGGUAGCAAACAGGAUUAGAUACCCCUGUAGUC